GCAAGAUUAGGUUGAAAUCUUCAAAUGUGAGAAAGGAGAAGUGAAAAGCUGCCCAUGGUGAUAACUUCCAUUUUCCUAGACAGUGUAGUACUCUGUUGCCAACCAGUUUAUGAUUAUAUCAUGAUCUGGAUAUAUCGUGCAGUCGGUGGAAGGUCAAAAAGACUUAUCAUGUUUGCGGGAUUGUGAAAGCUGGACUUUGCUUGAAGGUUCAUUGCCAAAAUUUGAGUCUUUUAUGCUAUAACGAGAGAGAGAAAUCCUGUUUAUAAGCACCCAGGGGCGUCGAUGGAGACACGUUUUUUAUGGUUGGUAUGAAAAUAUUGAAUGGC
RNAcentral lists this unclassified non-coding RNA (326 nucleotides) under Hevea brasiliensis (rubber tree). Lineage: Eukaryota; Viridiplantae; Streptophyta; Magnoliopsida; Malpighiales; Euphorbiaceae. The record is from RNAcentral.